This 462-nucleotide ribosomal RNA is filed under the name uncultured bacterium. RNAcentral describes it as "partial 16S ribosomal RNA". It matches the Rfam family "Bacterial small subunit ribosomal RNA", at positions 28 to 507 of the family's 1533-position model. The record is from RNAcentral.
GACGAACGCUGGCGGCGUGCUUAACACAUGCAAGUCGAACGGAAAGGCCCUUCGGGGUACUCGAGUGGCGAACGGGUGAGUAACACGUUGGUGAUCUGCCCUGCACUUUGGGAUAAGCCUGGGAAACUGGGUCUAAUACCGGAUAGGACCACGGCAUUCAUUUGCUGUGGUGGAAAGCUUUUGCGGUGUGGGAUGGGCCCGCGGCCUAUCAGCUUGUUGGUGGGGUAAUGGCAUACCAAGGCGACGACGGGUAGCCGGCCUGAGAGGGUGACCGGCCACAAUGGGACUGAGAUACGGCCCAGACUACUACGGGAGGCAGCAGUGGGGAAUAUUGCCCAAUGGGCGCAAGCCUGAUGAAGAGACGCCGCGUGAGGGAUGACGGCCUUCGGGUUGUAAACCUCUUUCGCCAGGGACGAAGCGCAAGUGACGGUACCUGGAGAAGAAGGACCGGCCAACUACGUG